AGAAACACCAGUUCCCGUACUAUCACCGAAGUUAAGCAACGUCGAGCCUGAUCAGUACCUAGAAGGGCGACCGCUUAGGAAUACCAGUUG
Molecule: non-coding RNA, 90 nt
Organism: Acanthosepion pharaonis
Lineage: Eukaryota; Metazoa; Mollusca; Cephalopoda; Sepiida; Sepiidae
Source: the annotation of a GenBank genome assembly